GUCCACGCCGUAACGAUGUCUACUCGGAGUUUGGUGUCUUGAACACUGGGCUCUCAAGCUAACGCAUUAAGUAGACCGCCUGGGAGUACGGCCGCAAGGUUAAACUCAAAUGAAUUGACGGGGCCCGCACAAGCGGUGGAGCAUGUGGUUUAAUUCGAUGCAACGCGAAGAACCUUACCUACUCUUGACAUCCAGAGAAUUCGCUAGAGAUAGCUUAGUGCCUUCGGGAACUCUGAGACAGGUGCUGCAUGGCUGUCGU
Molecule: ribosomal RNA, 259 nt
Filed under: uncultured bacterium
Lineage: Bacteria
Description: partial 16S ribosomal RNA
Rfam family: Bacterial small subunit ribosomal RNA
Source: RNAcentral